This is an RNA transcript of Oncorhynchus mykiss (rainbow trout), 889 nucleotides long. It is a transcript of the gene named ATP-dependent RNA helicase DHX15-like, with no coding region annotated. The record is from RefSeq and is a predicted model, not a curated record. NCBI's taxonomy places the organism in Eukaryota, Metazoa, Chordata, Actinopteri, Salmoniformes, Salmonidae.
GUUUAAUAUGGCCGGUGUCAGUAAACGUCAGCAAAAAAAAAAAAGUAAUUAAAUUGUUGCCAGCAGCACAGUUACAGUGACCAACGCUCUGGAUAACGUGGAAACAGCCUAACCAGGUCUGCUAUGGUAGCUCAUUUGGAGCACACAGGCCAGUACCUAACGGUGAAGGACAACCAGGUGGUCCAGCUGCACCAGUCCUGUGUGCGAUAUACAAUGAGUUUGUGCUGACCACCAAGAACUACAUCCGCACCUGCACCGACAUCAAACCAGAGUGGCUGGUGAAAAUCGCCCCGCAGUACUAAGAGAUGGAUAACUUCCCCAACUGUGAAGCCAAGAGACAGUUGUAGCGCAUCGUCGCUAAACUCUCAACCAAGGAAUACUCUGUACUAACACUGUAGUGUGCACGAGAACAAUACCAUCACCACCAGCACUAAGGAACUCUGAACUCUUCAUCUGAGCCUUGAAUUUUCUUAUUUGUUACCACCUGUGGUCAUUGUGAUUAACAGGUGGUUGGCAUUCGGGUUGAUCCAGGUUGGGAAUGAGCGGUCAACACCAUUACCGUCAUUGACCAUGUUAAAGCAUAACCAUUUAUGUAGAUGUUGACUUUCCUCUUUAGAACGUGUCAACUCUUACCAAAAUGUACUUAGGUGUAGAAUGUCCAUGCUAAUUCAUUGAACAAACUUUGACUUAAAUUAAUGGAAAAAAAUACAUCUCAGCUUUGACGGUUUAGAACCUACCGUCUUGCUUGUUCAGACAGCUACCAAACUUUGGUAUUGGGGGGGGGGGGGGGGGGGGGGGGGGGGGGUUCGGGGGGUGAGCUCAGAAGGUUGAAAUAUUAAAUGUAUUUUAAUAGCAGCAAAGCAGGAAGUAAAAGAAGGAAGUGUACCCA